ACUUUGAAUAAACCAUUUCUCUGCACUUAAGUUCCUUACCAACAAAACGAGGGAAGUGGCCUACAUGCCUAGAUAUCAACAUUUCAUGUCACGUAGAGAUCUAGCAUCACAAGAAUCCAAGUCAUCCUCUGUUGCCUUUAAGAUUUCAGCAUGGUGAAGGAAAAGUAGCAGAAGACUGAAUGCAUACUCAGUUUUCAAGCUCUGGAUUUAAUCUUUCCAUAGCUGGAAUUGCCUCCUCCUCAAAAGCCUUAUUUGUUCAUUUAAUUGGGGCAACAUGAAAUAAUGAUGUAUCAUUGACAGAGAACAGGGGGCUUAGGUUCUCAUCUUGGUCCUAGUGAUUACUCUAUGCAUAACCUCAACUUCUUUAUCUGUACAUUGGGAACAAUAAUUCUUACUCCACUUGUUGUGUUGAAACUGAAUUAUAUAAUUCAUAAAUUAAAACACCAAAUUCUGAUAAA
RNAcentral lists this long non-coding RNA (458 nucleotides) under Homo sapiens (human). Its description in RNAcentral is "non-protein coding LINC02207:12". The record is from RNAcentral. Lineage: Eukaryota; Metazoa; Chordata; Mammalia; Primates; Hominidae.